CUGGACUGAAGGAUCGCUCCCGAACUAUGGCUGCGGUACGUAGGCUGCGUCCUGACCUGUGCACAAAAAGGCACAGAAGCGUAGCAUCAGCACAACCGACCUCAUGUACUGGUAAGUGCCUGGCCUAACCCCGACAAAGUAGCGACGAGGCUAAAGAGGACCUACUUUGUUUUUCACGGAGAGAGACCACAAUACUCAUGUUCUCC
Molecule: long non-coding RNA, 206 nt
Filed under: Nicotiana benthamiana
Lineage: Eukaryota; Viridiplantae; Streptophyta; Magnoliopsida; Solanales; Solanaceae
Description: long non-coding RNA (NBEN_LNC002825)
Source: RNAcentral